This is a non-coding RNA of Pteronotus mesoamericanus, 426 nucleotides long. The record is from the annotation of a RefSeq genome assembly. Lineage: Eukaryota; Metazoa; Chordata; Mammalia; Chiroptera; Mormoopidae.
AUGGCCACCGGGCUCCUCUGCUGGGUGGCCCUUUGUCUCCUGCGAGUAGAGCCCACACAUGCUGGGGUCACCCAGACACCCAGGCACGAGGUCACAGAGACGGGACAAGACGUAACUCUGAGUUGUGAGCCAAUUUCCAGUCAUACCUAUCUUUACUGGGACAGACAGACCUCGGUGAAGGGACUAGAGUUUAUGAUUUAUUUCGGCAGCCAAACUGUCGUAGACGACACAGGGAUGCCCAAGAAGCGGUACUCAGCUCAGAUGCCUAAUGCUUCGUUCUCCACUCUGAAGAUCCAGUCCACAGAGCCGGGGGACUCAGCCGUGUGCCUCUGUGCCAGCAGCUUCGCCCCAGCGCUGCACAGUCGCCCCCUCCCUGUGCAGAAACCUCCUGCUUCCCCUGCUCUCAUUGGCCACCAGGGGUCCUGA